RNAcentral lists this ribosomal RNA (438 nucleotides) under uncultured bacterium. Its description in RNAcentral is "partial 16S ribosomal RNA". It matches the Rfam family "Bacterial small subunit ribosomal RNA", at positions 339 to 795 of the family's 1533-position model. The record is from RNAcentral.
CUACGGGGCGCACCAGUAGGGAAUCUUAGACAAUGGGGGAAACCCUGAUCUAGCCAUGCCGCGUGAGUGAUGAAGUCCUUAGGGUUGUAAAGCUCUUUCGCUGGGGAAGAUAAUGACGGUACCCAGUAAAGAAACCCCGGCUAACUCCGUGCCAGCAGCCGCGGUAAUACGGAGGGGGUUAGCGUUGUUCGGAAUUACUGGGCGUAAAGCGCGCGUAGGCGGGCUAUUAAGUCAGGGGUGAAUCCCGGGGCUCAACCCCGGAACUGCCUUUGAUACUGGUAGUCUUGAGUUCGAGAGAGGUGAGUGGAAUUCCGAGUGUAGAGGUGAAAUUCGUAGAUAUUCGGAGGAACAUCAGUGGCGAAGGCGACUCACUGGCUCGAUACUGACGCUGAGGUGCGAAAGUGUGGGGAGCAAACAGGAUUAGAUACCCCGGUAGUC